Molecule: small nuclear RNA, 107 nt
Organism: Antechinus flavipes (yellow-footed antechinus)
Lineage: Eukaryota; Metazoa; Chordata; Mammalia; Dasyuromorphia; Dasyuridae
Source: RefSeq, a predicted model, not a curated record
GUGCUCAUUUCAGCAGCACAUGUACUAAAAUUAGAAUGAUACAGUGAAGAUUAAUGUGGCCCCUACUCAAGGAUGACAUGCAAAUUAGUGUAGGAAGAUUUUAUACU